UACAGAGGGGGCAAGCGUUGUUCGGAAUUACUGGGCGUAAAGGGCGCGUAGGCGGCCGCCUAAGUCAGACGUGAAAUCCCUCGGCUCAACCGGGGAACUGCGUCUGAUACUGGGUGGCUUGAAUCCGGGAGAGGGAUGCGGAAUUCCAGGUGUAGCGGUGAAAUGCGUAGAUAUCUGGAGGAACACCGGUGGCGAAGGCGGCAUUCUGGACUGCAACUGACACUGAAAGACGAAAGCCAGGGGAGCAAACGGG
This 253-nucleotide ribosomal RNA is filed under the name uncultured bacterium. RNAcentral's name for it is "partial 16S ribosomal RNA". It matches the Rfam family "Bacterial small subunit ribosomal RNA", at positions 524 to 776 of the family's 1533-position model. The record is from RNAcentral.